This is a non-coding RNA of Delphinapterus leucas (beluga whale), 578 nucleotides long. The record is from RefSeq and is a predicted model, not a curated record. NCBI's taxonomy places the organism in Eukaryota, Metazoa, Chordata, Mammalia, Artiodactyla, Monodontidae.
AUGAGAACCGGGAGAUGCCACGGGCCCCCUGAACCCCUGUCCAUCUAGAGUGAUGGGGUGGUGCGUGUGAUCCAGGAAAGCUGCCCUGGUGACGUGAGGCUGAACGUGCUUCAGUGACAAGCUUCCGGGUGAUCCCAGAACAGGAGAGUGAGACGGAUCCUGUUAGAAAAAGGUCUGUCUUCAGGAUCGGGAGAGGAAAUCCAAGCAGACUUGCAGCAGAGCCUGGGGACGGGCUCUGUUUGGUGGGUCACCCUGUUUCCUGAGUCUCGAAAGGAGCAGCUCCAGCGGGCAGUGGCAGCUUCAUCCCACACCUGGGAGCAUCCAGACCUCGAGGCCCAGCAGCCCUGAGCCCUGUGUCUGGGCCCCCGGGAGGCAGGUGGGACAGGCCGCCAUCCCCCUCGGCCCUCUUCCUGCCCAGAACAUUCGGGGUCCGGGCCAUCAUUAGGGAGAAGCAGGGAUGGGGGUGUCCCAUGUGGGAACAGGACACGGAGCAGCUUGUGCACGUGGACGUCCACACCGGGAAUGUGGGUCGGUGGGACGCAGGCACCGGGAGGGGCAGGUGGUGGGUCUGAGGAAGC